Molecule: ribosomal RNA, 489 nt
Filed under: uncultured bacterium
Lineage: Bacteria
Description: bacterial SSU rRNA
Rfam family: Bacterial small subunit ribosomal RNA
Source: RNAcentral
AUUGAACGCUGGCGGCAGGCCUAACACAUGCAAGUCGAGCGGUAGCACAGAGAGCUUGCUCUCGGGUGACGAGCGGCGGACGGGUGAGUAAUGGUCUGGGAAACUGCCUGAUGGAGGGGGAUAACUACUGGAAACGGUAGCUAAUACCGCAUAACGUCGCAAGACCAAAGUGGGGGACCUUCGGGCCUCAUGCCAUCAGAUGUGCCCAGAUGGGAUUAGCUAGUAGGUGGGGUAACGGCUCACCUAGGCGACGAUCCCUAGCUGGUCUGAGAGGAUGACCAGCCACACUGGAACUGAGACACGGUCCAGACUCCUACGGGAGGCAGCAGUGGGGAAUAUUGCACAAUGGGCGCAAGCCUGAUGCAGCCAUGCCGCGUGUGUGAAGAAGGCCUUCGGGUUGUAAAGCACUUUCAGCGGGGAGGAAGGCGUUAAGGUUAAUAACCUUGGCGAUUGACGUUACCCGCAGAAGAAGCACCGGCUAACUCCGUG